Non-coding RNA from Paramuricea clavata, 1616 nucleotides. Lineage: Eukaryota; Metazoa; Cnidaria; Anthozoa; Malacalcyonacea; Plexauridae. The record is from the annotation of a GenBank genome assembly.
UUACGGUAAUUACUGAUUUUCAAACAAGUUGUGCUCUUGCGGGUUUUAACCAAUUUUUCUCAAACUUUCACAGGACAUAGCUCAAGACGUCAGUUUCAAAAUUGUGUUCGGCUUUUUUUUAAUUUUGGAUAUUUUAAAAAUAAAGAGCAAUUCACUCAAACAAUUCAGAAAUAUAUUGCAGUCGUCAAAGAAAUCGCCAUAUUAGCGGAAUGACGAAAUAAACAAAAAUUUCCGAACACAGUUUUUUAGAACAACUAUUUUACUGUAUAAAAAUGAUAUUUUCAUAAAUAUAACUUAAAACCAGCAGGAGCACAACUCAAAAGCGUAACGACACCGCGAUUUAAGAUUUUCCUGAAUAAUUCUUACAUUAUUUUAUUGUUUGUUAAUUUUACAACUUUACCAUAUUUUGCAUGAACUGGAGAACAUUUGGUGAAAAUUUGAUGAAAAUCGGACUGAUAUUGAGCGCGCAGUAGCGAACUUUGAUAAGUUAACAAAUUCAUACUAAAACUUGCGGAGCAGUAAAUUCUGUUGCUUUAUUUAUUUGGUUAUUUUACAAAUUUAAAGUUUUACGUGCGUAUUUUAAGCCUGGUGUGGAAAUUAAGCCUGGCCCCGAGCUAAGGGGAAACUUCCGACGUUUAUGCCUACUAGUAAAGUUAUAUUUUAUAGUACGCAACAUUCUUCUGUCGGCCGCCAGUUUAAAAUGUUCAAAAUAAAAUAUUUUGGGGCUUUUGGGCUCAAAAUAUUAUCAAAAUGAAGAGGGAAGUGAGACGAAUCCACUGGUGUACGGCCGAAAAAGAGAAAACCAAUGAUACCAAAGUUAUCAAGGAUCAAACGUACUGCAUCUUUUAUAUUAAAUUGAGCGAGUUGUCAACAAAUAAUACAAUUUCGCUUGGCUUUCAAAGUCAGAGGCCAUUAAUCGCUAGAAUACUGUUGUCAGUUGUUUAGUAAUACAUUUGACAUCCGUAGGUACAAUUUCUCAUCCGUAAGUACAAUUUCUUGCGCUGAAUCGAACGGUGGUAUUUUUAUUUUUAUUGCGCCAUUAAUUAGGCAAUACAAAUACAAGGUCAAGGACAAACGCACUGCGAGUGAUUUGAUGUCAACAAUACAAUUUCGCUUGAUUUUCUAAGGCCAUAAAUCGCUAGAAUACUGCUGUUUAGUACUACAUUUGACAUCCAUAAGUACAAUUUCUUACGCUGAAUCGAACGGUGGUAUUUUUAUCCUUAUUGCGCCAUUUAUAAGAGGCAUUACAAAUUACAAUAUAUGUUUCGCACUGAGUACACUACAGACAGUUUUCACCAUAGAUAUCUUAUAUCUAUGGUUUUCACGGACUGUUGUUCGAUAAAUUUUAUAUUGAUAUGACACCAAUAUGCUUCUCAUAAAGUAGUUAUAAUUUAAACUGCACAACGUAGUUUUAAUAAAUAACCUUUUACCUUGAAAUUGUCUUUGGCUCCUUUAUAUCAGUUCAGAUUCAGUAUAUUAUGAUCGUGCACGGGAAUUCAACGAUCCAAAUUUCGGAUUUUCAGAGUCGUGCACCAAGAAAAACGCAUUAAAUAAACUAGCAUGAAUGUCCAGAGUUAGACACAAAGCAAAAUCCAUAGAAAACAGGUACAAUUCGG